This 358-nucleotide ribosomal RNA is filed under the name uncultured bacterium. Its description in RNAcentral is "bacterial SSU rRNA". It matches the Rfam family "Bacterial small subunit ribosomal RNA", at positions 1 to 334 of the family's 1533-position model. The record is from RNAcentral.
CUAGCGACUUCAGAGUUUGAUCCUGGCUCAGGACGAACGCUGGCGGCGUGCCUAACACAUGCAAGUCGAACGGAGCUUGUUUGAAUUGAGACUUCGGUCAAUUUUCAUUUAAGCUUAGUGGCGGACGGGUGAGUAACGCGUGAGUAACCUGCCGUUCAGAGGGGGACAACAGUUGGAAACGACUGCUAAUACCGCAUAAUGUAUCUCUGGGACAUCCCUAAGAUACCAAAGGAGUAAUCCGCUGAAUGAUGGACUCGCGUCUGAUUAGAUAGUUGGUGGGGUAACGGCCUACCAAGUCGACGAUCAGUAGCCGGACUGAGAGGUUGAACGGCCACAUUGGGACUGAGACACGGCCCAG